Molecule: ribosomal RNA, 873 nt
Filed under: Parascutellinia carneosanguinea
Lineage: Eukaryota; Fungi; Ascomycota; Pezizomycetes; Pezizales; Pyronemataceae
Description: partial large subunit ribosomal RNA
Rfam family: Eukaryotic large subunit ribosomal RNA
Source: RNAcentral
AUAGCGGAGGAAAAGAAACCAACAGGGAUUGCCCCAGUAACUGCGAGUGAAGCGGCAAAAGCUCAAAUUUGAAAUCUGGCGCCUUUGGCGUCCGAGUUGUAAUUUGGAGAGACAUCUUCGGGGAUGGCAUACUGUCCUAAGUUCCUUGGAACAGGACGUCACAGAGGGUGAGAAUCCCGUGCCUGGAUGGUUGUCCAUCCCCAUUGUGAAGGGUCUUCGACGAGUCGAGUUGUUUGGGAAUGCAGCUCAAAAUGGGUGGUAAACGUCAUCUAAAGCUAAAUAUUGGCGAGAGACCGAUAGCGCACAAGUAGAGUGAUCGAAAGAUGAAAAGCACUUUGAAAAGAGAGUAAAAUAGUACGUGAAAUUGUUGAAAGGGAAGCGCUUGAGACCAGACACGGUCCGUGGUAAUCGCCCGCGCUUCGGUGCAGGUGCUCUUACCAUGACCGGUGCCAGCAUCGGUUCUGGCGGUGGGAUAAAAGGCAGGGGAAUGUAGCUUCCUCACUGGGAGUGUUAGAGCCCCUGUCACAAUGCCACCAGUCGGGACCGAGGACUGCGCUUCAGCUAGGAUGUUGGCGUAAUGGUCUUAAGCGACCCGUCUUGAAACACGGACCAAGGAGUCUAACAUCUAUGCGAGUGUUCGGGUGGAAAACCCUUGCGCGUAAUGAAAGUGAACGGAGGUGGGAACCCCGAAAGGGAGUGCACCAUCGACCGAUCCUGAUGUCUUCGGAAGGAUUUGAGUAAGAGCAUAGCUGUUGGGACCCGAAAGAUGGUGAACUAUGCCUGAAUAGGGUGAAGCCAGAGGAAACUCUGGUGGAGGCUCGCAGCGGUUCUGACGUGCAAAUCGAUCGUCAAAUUUGGGUAUAGGGGCGAAAG